Molecule: long non-coding RNA, 208 nt
Organism: Neomonachus schauinslandi (Hawaiian monk seal)
Lineage: Eukaryota; Metazoa; Chordata; Mammalia; Carnivora; Phocidae
Exons: 3
Source: RefSeq, a predicted model, not a curated record
CGGCUCACCCACACCUGCCAAAUUAGACCCGCCGGUGGAGCGCUCCAGGCAGAAGAAGCCCUGAGAGCCCAGGGAUCUCGGACACGUGGAUGGAGGAGCUGUCUGUCUUGUCCCCAGCGUCUCAGAGUGGUGCCUGCACAAGAGAAGAGGCCCUGCUGAGGACGGAACUGAAGAGACCUUUUGCAACUCCCAUGGUUCUGCUCCUUUG